GAGAAACCUUUUGGCAAGGACUUGGCAUCUGCAGAGAAGUUAAGUUCCCAGAUUGGGGAAUUGUUUGAUGAACCACAAAUUUACCGUAUAGAUCACUAUCUGGGGAAGGAGUUGGUUCAAAACCUGUUGGUACUUCGUUUCGCAAACCGCUUUUUCUUGCCCCUUUGGAACCGUGACAACAUUGAUAAUGUCCAGAUCGUGUUCAGGGAGGAUUUUGGUACCGAGGGGCGUGGUGGAUAUUUUGAUGAAUAUGGG
This 255-nucleotide unclassified non-coding RNA is filed under the name Hevea brasiliensis (rubber tree). Lineage: Eukaryota; Viridiplantae; Streptophyta; Magnoliopsida; Malpighiales; Euphorbiaceae. The record is from RNAcentral.